UGAGGAAUAUUGGGCAAUGGACGCAAGUCUGACCCAGCCAUGCCGCGUGAAGGAUGAAGGCGUUCUGCGUUGUAAACUUCUUUUAUCAGGGAAGAAAACUAUGGUUUCUACUAUAGCCGACGGUACCUGAGGAAUAAGCACCGGCUAACUCCGUGCCAGCAGCCGCGGUAAUACGGAGGGUGCAAGCGUUAUCCGGAUUCACUGGGUUUAAAGGGUGUGUAGGCGGGCAGUUAAGUCAGUGGUGAAAUCUCCGGGCUCAACCCGGAAACUGCCAUUGAUACUAAUUGUCUUGAAUCUUGUUGAGGUAGGCGGAAUAUGUCAUGUAGCGGUGAAAUGCAUAGAUAUGACAUAGAACACCGAUUGCGAAGGCAGCUUACUAAGCAAGCAUUGACGCUGAGGCACGAAAGCGUGGGGAUCAAACAG
RNAcentral lists this ribosomal RNA (423 nucleotides) under uncultured bacterium. Its description in RNAcentral is "bacterial SSU rRNA". It matches the Rfam family "Bacterial small subunit ribosomal RNA", at positions 355 to 775 of the family's 1533-position model. The record is from RNAcentral.